Molecule: long non-coding RNA, 8629 nt
Filed under: Sus scrofa (pig)
Lineage: Eukaryota; Metazoa; Chordata; Mammalia; Artiodactyla; Suidae
Description: lncRNA (ENSSSCG00000060349.1)
Source: RNAcentral
GUAAUGAAGUUUGUCUAUGUGUAUUUAUAUGGAAAAAUGCUUCAGAAAUGGGAAUAAUUCAGGUGCCAGAAAAAUCACAAAGAGCACAUGUCCCUUUAUGGAAAAGAAAAGAAUUUUGGGGGCAUCAAAAUCUUGAAAGCUGUACAGCAAAUUAAAUAGUUAUUUCCAAAGUAUUGAAUUAUGAGAGGGAAUUUCACUUCUUAUUUUAUACAUUAGCAUUUGGAAAUCUUUUAUCCCCAUCCUUAGGUGAGAAAGUCCUCAAAUAUAAUGUUUAUGUCAUCUUCAAAGAUCAUCUUGAGGUGACGUUCUUCAGAUUGGGUAACAAAUAUUUGUGGAGUGCACAAAUAUGAAAAAGGGGAAAAUUAAAUGAAUAAAGAAGGGAAUUUUACCUCAUAGAAUAGGGAAUGUACAGCUAGUCUUCUGUGUCUAAUAGGGGCAAAUUUCAAGCAGUACCAUUUCUGUAGGCUUUGAAGAAUUAAUUCAGUCUCUAUUAAUCCCUAGUCUUCUAUUCGGUCCUUUGCAAAUGAAAUUGUUUGGAGAACAAGAAACAUUUUAUGUUUUGUUACUGGAAACUUUUUUCACAAGGGUGGCUCUCAGGAUAAAUUGGGGUUAUGUUACAGUAAGGACUAAAAUUUCAGUGGCUUGAAACAAUUCAAAUGUACUUCCUGUGCAUGUGGCAUUUCCAAAACAAAUUACAAACGAAGCUUUGUUUAUUAUAGUCAGUCAGGAACCCAGGUAGAUGGAAGCUUUAUCUCAAAAUGUGAAUCUAUGAUCACAGUGGAGAGAGGGAGGCAUUAUGACAAAUUAUGCCUUGGUUCGAGUUGCCACCUAGAAGUGAUGUGUGCCCUCUGUUUCACUGGCUGUGCAGUUCACAUGACCACUGCUCAUAUCAAGGAGGGAAGGGACAUGAAAUCUCACCCUGUACAGAUUCUGAGGAAUGGUGGAUGGGAUUUAUUUCUAUGUAAAAUCAUCCACAUGUACAUAUUUUCAACAUCCCAGUUUGGACUCCCUUCACUUGAAGCCUAUUUCUCAUGCCUAUAUCAUAACCCCUUACCCAUAAAUAAUGUUUCCUAGAACACAUGCUUCCUCUCACUCCAUACCCACAACUAAGAUAUAGAGAGAGAGAGAGAAAGAGAGGUUUCCCACAGCUAAGCUGCCAUUUAGCCACUUUCUUGCUCCUAUUCUUACCCUGUAAGCAAAUAAUUACCACGCAAGUGAAUUCUAUACUUCUUAGGUGAUUACACUUGAGGUUCUAUUGAUUUCUUUACCUUGGGGAUAUAAAGAGAGCACCUUUUACUUAUUAGUAGUGGGUUAACAAUUUUCUUUAAAGUAAAAUUUCUCUAAGUAUUUUAAUUGCCAUUUCCAGCAAAUACAAACCAAAUUGGUACAUUGCCAUGUUCCCUGGGGUGAGUGGGGGGCUCAAUAAAUAUUAAGUGGUGAGAAGAGAAUGAUUAAAAUUUUAAAGUAAAUGCUUACAUUGGAAAAAGGGGAUCUUGCCGGACAAGUUCUGAGUAAUAGCACUAAUCUCUCUUAGUUAUCAUGCAUGACAUAAAAUAUAUAAUUUAUUGUGAAAUGGACUGCCCUAAAUAGGCCAUAUUGUUAUCUUUAUGGCCAAAUUUGAACUCUAGCAAAUAUAAGCUCCAUGCUCAUCUCUGGCAUUAUUAGCAUUAUUUAGUUUUGUUUUCAUUUGUUUUUUUAAUUUUCUUUUUUAAAAAUUGAGAUAUAAUUGAUAUAUAAUGAAGUUAGUUUCAGGAAUACGAGGUAAAUAUUUGACAUUUGUAUGUACUGCAAAAUGGUUACCAUAAUAAGUAUAGUUACCAUCAUUUACCACACAAACUUACAACAAACUUUUUCUUUCUCCUUGUGAUGAGAACUUAAAAUUUACCCUCCUGGCAAGUUUCAAAUAUGCUCUACAGUAUUUUUUACUAUAGUCACCAUGCUCUAUAUUACAUCCCUACGAAUUAUUUAUUUUAAAACUGUGAGUUCUGAUAUUUUUUAUUUUUGAAAGAAUAUUUUUGUUUGAUUUGCUUAUGAGAUAUCCUUCUAUAUAUUUUAUGUUCAAAUGUCACUUAUAAUAAAGCCACAUAAAGUUCCAUUGCUAAAUUCACACCUUUAGUAGGAAUAAAUUUGAAGUGACCUUGGUAUACACAAAGGGAAAUGAAAAAAAAAGAGUAUUAUAUUCUCCAAGAAUAAAUUUAACACAGCGUAUCCCAAUCAAAAAUAAUGGGCCGUAUUUAACCAUGUCAAAAAUGACUAAGCCUUCAGUUGGAUAGGAAGCUAAUUCUGUACAAUGUUAUUUAAUGUCAAGGAAUCUAUUUUUCUUUCUUUAAAAAAAUUUUUAGACAAUAGUUGUUGUUUCUUUUAACAAUUAAUAACAGGUUUUAAAACGUAUUACAUUUUAAACAAAAUAUGAUGUGAAGUUUUCAAUUAAUGAUACUUCAUGUUUUGUAUCUCUUGGUAGAAUUAAUUUCUUUUUUUUUACUUCUUUAAAUUACUCAAUGAAUUUUAUUACAGUUAUGGUUGUACAACAAUCAUCACAACCCAGUUUUAUAGCUUUUCCAACCCAAACCCCCAGCCCAUCCCCCGCUGCCUGUCUCAUUUGGAAACUGUAAGUUUUUCAAAGUCUGUGAGUCCGUAUCUGCUCUGCAAAGAAGUUCAUUGUGUCUGUUUGUUAGAUUACACAUGUAAGUGAUAGCAUAUGAUGUUGGUGUCUCACUGUCUGACUGACUUCACUUAGCACGGUAAUUUCUAUGUCCAUUAGUGUUGCUGCAAAUGCUGUUCUUUCUUUCUUUUUAAUGGCUGAGUAAUAUUCCAUUGUAUGUAUGUACCAUAUCUUCUGUCAAUGGGCAUUUAGGUUGUUUCCAUGUCUUGGCUAUUGCAUAUAGUGCUACAAUGAACAUUGGAGUACAUGAAUCUUUUCAAGUCAUGGUUUUCUCUGGAUAGAUGCCCAGGAGUGGGAUUGCUGGGUCAAAUGGUAGUUCCAUUUUUGGUUUUCUGAGGAAUCUCCAUACUGUUUUCCACAGUGGUUGCACCAAUUGACAAUCCCACCAACAGUGCAAUAGGGUUCCUUUUUCUCCACACCCUCUCCAGCAUUUAUUCUUUGUAGACUUUUUGAUGAUGGCCAUUCUGGCUGGUGUAAGGUGGUACCUCAUAGUGGUUUUGAUUUGCAUUGCUCUAAUAAUGAGUGAUGUUGAAUAUCUUUUCAUGGUUUUUUUUUUUGGCCCUCUGUAUGUCUUCUUUGGAGAAUUGUCUGUUUAGAUCUUCUGCCCAUUUUUUGAUGGGGUUGUUUGUUUUUUGGUAUUGAGCCACAGGAGGUGUUUAUAAAUUUUGGAGAUUAAUCCCUUGUCAGUUGUUUCAUUUGCAAAUAUUUUCUCCCAUUCUGUUUUGUUUAGGGUUUCCUUUGCUGUGCAGAAACUUUGAAGUUUGAUUAGGUCCCAUAGGUUUCUUUUUGUUUUUAUUGUCAUUACUCUAGGAGGUGGAUCCGAGAAGAUGUUGCUAUGGUUUAUGUCAGAGAGUGUUUGGCCUAUGUUUUCCUCUAAGAGUUUUAUAGUAUCUGGUCUUAUAUUUAGGUAUUUAAUCCACUUUGAGUUUACUUUUUUGUAUGGUGUAAGGGAGUGUUCUCAUUUCAUUCUUUUACAUGUGGCUGUCCUGUUCUCCCAGCACCACUUAUUGAAGGGACUGUCUUUCUACAUUGUAUAUUCUUGCCUCCUUUGUCAUAGAUGAGUUGACUGAGGUGCAUGUGUUUAAUUCUGGGCUUUCUAUCCGUUCCACUGAUCUAUGCCAAUACCAUACAGUUUUGAUGACUGUGGUUUGUAGUAUAGUCUGAAGUCAGGGAGCCUGAUUCCUCCAGGUCUAUUUUUCUUUCUCAGGAUGUCUUUGGCUAUUCUGGGUCUUUUGUGCCUCCAAACAAACUUUAAAAUAUUUCCUUCGAGUUCUGUGAAAAAUGUCCUUGGUAAUUUGAUAGGGGUUGCAUUGAAUCUGUAGAUUGCCUGGGGUAGUAUAGCCAUUUUGAUAAUAUUGAUUUUUUUGUGUGUUUCUGUGAUGUCCGUUGUAACUUCUCCUUUUUCAUUUCUAAUUUUAUUGAUUUCAGUCCUCUCUCCUUUUUUCUUGAUAAGUCUGGCUAACGGUUUAUCAAUUUUGUUGAUCUUUUCAAAGAACCAGCUUUUAGUUCCAUUGAUAUUAUCUAUGGUUUUCUUUGUUUCUAGUUCAUUAAUUUCUGCUCUGAUCUUUAUGAUUUCUUUCCUUCUGCUAACUUUAGGUCUUGUCUGUUCUCUCUCUAGCUGCUUUAGAUGGAAAGUUAGGUUGUUUAUUUGAGCUUUUUCUUAUUUCCUGGGGUAGGCUUGUAUUGCUAUAAACUACCGUCUUAGAACUGCUUUUGCUGCAUCCCAUAGGUUUUGGAGUAUUUUAUCUUUGUUGUCAUUUGCUUCUAGGUAUUUUUUAAUUUCCUCUGUGAUUUCUUCAGUGAUCCAUUGGUUGUUUAGUAUCAUGUUGUUUAGUCUCCACGUGUUUGUGUUUUUUGCAGUUUCUUUUCUUGUUGAUUUCCAGUUGUAUAGCCUUGUGGUUGGAAAAGAUGCUUGAUAUGAUUUCAAUUUUCUUAAAUUUACCAAGGUUUGAUUUUUGGCCCAAAAUGUGAUCAAUCUUAGAAAUGUACUUAGAGAUGCACUUGAGAAGAAUGUGUAUUCUGCUGCUUUUAUAUGGAAUGUCCUAUAAAUAUCUAUUAAGCCCGUCUGGUCAUUCAGGGCCUGUGUUUCCUUAUUGAAUUUCUGUCUGGAUGAUCUGUCCAUUGCUGUAAGUGGGUGUUAAAGUCCCCCACUAUUACUGCGUUAUUGUCAAUUUGUCCUUUUAAGGCUGUUAGAGGUUGCCUUAUAUAUUGAGGUUAUCCUAUGUUGGGUGCAUAUGUAUUUACAAUUGUUAUAUCUUCUUCUUGGAUUGAUCCUUUGAUCAUUAUGUAAUAUCCUUCCUUUUCUCUUAUAAUAUUCUCAUUUUAAGCUCUAUUUUGUCUGUUAUGAGUAUUGCUACUCCAGCUUUCUUUUGAUUCCCAUUUGCAUGGCUAUUUUCUUCCAUCCUCUCACUUUCAAUUUGUAUGUGUCCCUAGAAUUUAAGUGAGUCUCUUGAAGACAGCAUAUAUAUGGAUCUUGUUUUUGUAUCCAUUCAGCCAGUCUAUGUCUUUUGGUUAGGGCAUUUAGUCCAUUUACAUUUAAGGUAAUUAUUGAUAUGUAUGUUCUCAUUGCCCUUUUAUUAACUGUUUUGGAUUUGUUUUUGUUGCUCUUUUUCUUCCUGUCUUCUCUUGUUCUCUCCUCUUGUAGUUUGAUGACUAUCUUUAGUGUUGUAUUUGAGUUGAUUUUUCUUAUUUGUUUGUGUAUCUAUUGUAGAUUUUUGGUUUGCAGUUAUUCUGAAGUUUUGAUAUAGGAGUCUAUAUACAUAGGAGAUUGCUUUAAGUUCUUGGUCUCUUAAUUGCAAGUGCAUCUCCAGUAUCCUGCAUUUUUACCUUCCUCUUCUCACGAUUUCUGAUUUUGGUAGUGUAUUUUUGCGUGGAUGAAUUCCUACCUUUAUUGUAUAUAUGCCUUUACUAGUGAGCCUUGUCAUUUUUGGUAUUUUUGUUUCUAGUUGUGGCUUUUUCUUUUUUGCCUAGAGAAGUUCCUUUAGUAUUUGUGGUAAAGCUGGUUUAGUGUUGCUGAAUUCUCUUAGCUUUUGGUUAUCUGUAAAGCUUUUGAUUUCUCCUUCAAAUCUGAAUGAGAGCCUUCCUGGGUAAAAUAAUCUCUGUUGGAGAUUUUUCCCUUUCAUCACGUUAAGUAUAUUUGCCACUCCCUUCUGGCCCAAGGGUUUCUGCUGAAAAAUCUGCCAAUAACCUUAUCAGCAUUCCCUUGUAUGUUAUUUGUUUCUUUUCCCUAGCUGCUUUCAAUAUUUUCUCUUUGUCUUUAAUUUUGGUCAGUUUGAUUAAUAUGUGUCUCAGGGUGUCCCUCCUUGUCUUUGUUUUAUAUGGUAUUUUUUGUGUUUCCUGGAUUUGAGUGAGUACUUCCUUUCCUAUGUAGGGAAAUUUUCAGCUAUUAUCUCUUUGAAUAUUUUUUCUGUCCCUCUUUCUCUCUCUCUUCUCUUUCUGACACCCCUAUAAUACAGAUGUUUGUGCAUUUAACAUUGUACCAGAUUUCUCUUAGACUGUUUUCAUUUCUUUUCAAUCUUUUUUCUCUUUUCUUUUACGCAUCAGUGAUUUCCACUAGUCUGUGCUCCACCUCCCUUAAUCAUUCUUCUGCUUCCUGUAUUCUGCUUUUUGUUGUUUCUAAUGAAUUUUUUAUUUUGGUUAUUGUAUUUUGCAUCUUUGCUUUCUUAAGUUUUAAAUCUUGUAUUUCUUUGCUCAGUGUUUGCUAUAAAUUAUUGGUCUUUGCCUCCAGUUUAUUUCCAAUGUCUUGUAUCAUCUUCAGCAUCAUCAGCCUGAAGUCUUUUUCCUGGAGGCUGAUAAUCUCCAGAUCACUUAGCUGUUUUUCUGCUUUUUUUUUUUUCUUGCUCCCUUAUCUGAGUUAUAGUUCUCUGCCUUUUCAUUUUUAUAGUUUUUUGGUGUAGUAUCCUUUUUUUUUCUUUGGAGACAAUAUAGUUGUAGCCUUUCUUACUUCUGAUGUCUGCUCCCCUUGUUGCUGAAGUUGGUACAGGGUCUUGCUGUAGGCUUCCUAAUGGGAGGGACUGGGGCCUGCCUGCUGGUAGGUGGGGCUGAUUCCUAUCCCUUUGGUAGGUGAGGCUUUGUCUCUGGGUGAGAUUAGAAGUGACUGUGUGCCUGGGAAGGGGUCUUUAUGCAGCCUGUUUACUGAUGGGUGGGGCUGUGAGCUCACCUGGAUAAUUUUUUGGCCUGAGGAUUCUCAGAGCUUUGGGUGGGGCCAGAUUUUCUCAAAAUGGCCACCUCUAGAGGAACACAUGCUAAUUCCCAAGAGAUUUGCCUCCUAUGUCCUUCUCCAUAACAAGCCACAUUCGCCCCCUGUUUUCCUAGGAGAUCCUCCAAGAGCUGCAGUCAGGUCCCGCCCAGAUUCCUAUGGAAUAUCUGCUUUGCCUUGGGACCCUACUCCUAAGUCCUGUGGAUCUCCUGCACACAAGUCCCACUGGCCUUCAAUUCCAGAUGUUCUGGGUUCUCUUUCUCCCAAUGUCAGAUCCCCAGGCAUGGAGACCUGUUGUGGGGCUCAGAACUCUCACUCUUACAGGUGAGUCUCUGUGAUAUGGUUACUUUCCAGUCUGUAGGCUUCCCACCCAGCAGGUAAGGGGUUGUUCAUAUCAUGUAAUUGAUGCCCUACCUCUUGAAGUGGGUUCCUCUUUGUCUUCUGGAGUAGGAUAUCUUUUUUAGUUUCCAGUCCAUUUGGUUGAAGGUUGUUUAGGAUUCGGUUGUAAUUUUAUUGUUUUUAUGAGAGAGGUUGAGCUCCAGUCCUUCUCUUCCAAGAUCUUAAUCCUGACCUCUCUCUUUUUUAAUUUUUUUAUUAAUAGUUGAUUUACAAUGUUCUAUCAACUUCUGCUGUGCAGCAAAAUGACCCAAUCAUAAACACACACACACACACACACACACACACAUAUUCUUUUUCCAUCAUGUUCCAUCACAAGUGGCUAGAUAUAGUCCCUGUGCUAUACAGCAGGAUCUCAUUACUUAUCUACUCCAAAUGCAAUAGUUUGCAUCUAUUAUCCUCAAAUUCCCAGUCCAUUCUACUCCCUCUCCCUCCCCCUUGGCAAGUCUGUUCUCCAUGUCCAUGAGUUUGUUUCUUUUCUAUAAAUAGGUUCAUUUGUGCCACACAUUAGAUUCCAGGUAUAAGAGAUAUCAUAUGGUAUUUGUCUUUCUCUUUCUGACUUACUUCACUUAGUUUGAGAGUCUCUAGUUCCAUCAAUGUUGCUGCAAAUGGCAUUAUUUUGUUCUUUUUUUAAUCCUGAGUAAUAUUCCAUUGUGUGUAUAUACUACAUCUUCUUGAUCCAUUCAUCUGUCAAUGGACAUUUAGAUUGUUUCCAUGUCUUGGCUAUUGCAAAUAGUGUUUCAAUAAACAUAGGGGUGCAUGUAUCUUUUUCAAUGAAACUUUUGUAUGGAUAAGUGCCCAGGAGUGGGAUUGCUGGGUCAUAUGGUAGUUCUAUAUUUAGUUUUCCGAGGUACCUCCAUAUGGAACCAUAAAAGACCCUGAAUUGCCAAAGCAAUCCUGAGGAACAAAAACAAAACAGUAGGCAUAAAUCUACCAGAUUUCAGACAAUGUUAUAAAGCUACAGUAAUUAAGACAGUGUGGUACUUGUAUAAAAACAGACAUACAGACCCAAUGGAACAGAAUAGAAAACCUAGAAAUAAUUCCAGACAUCUAUGGUCAGCUAAUCUUCAGUGAGAACAUAAAAUGGGAAAAAGUCUCUUCAGCAAAUGGUGCUGGGAAAACUGGACAGCUGUAUGUAAAUCAUGAAAUUGGAGCAAACCCUCACACCAUGCACAAAAAUAAAUUCAAAAUGGCGUAAAGAAUUAAACAUAAGACAAGACACCGUCAAACUCCUAAAGAGAACAUAGGCAAAACAUUCUCUUACAGCACCUGUGCAAAUAUUUUCUUAGGUCAGGCUCCCAAAUCAAUAGCAAUAAAAGCAAAAAUAAAUGAAUGGGACCUAAUCACACUGACAAGCUUUUGCACAGCAAGUG